CCCUAGGGAUCCAUGGCGGGGGAUGCGAGUCCUGGGCGGCUCGGAGGGUCCCGAUCCUCCCGAGGUCAGAGGCUCACCUGGAGUCCUCCCCUCCGGGUGGAGGAUCAUUCAUUGCAGCCAAGGCUGGCUGCUGUUGCCUCUCCUUCGCCUUCCCCGCCGCCGCCACCGGAGAAUGAGAGAAAAACAGAAAAGGAUGGGGCGGAACAGCGGCGGUGAGAGUGAUGUUGCUGCGGCCGCUGCGCUGCGGCCCGGGUUAGGUCUCCCGUCUGGGGUGGGGCAAGGGGCGGGGCCGCGGGGCGGGGAACAAGAGCCCGGCGCGGCCCUUGGGCGAGGGACAGCGGUGCAUCGCCGCCCGCACCCCACGGACCCCUCAGGGAUGACAGGCUCCGGUGCCCACCCAGGUCCCGCGCCCACCAGUCGGAUGCGGCGCAGCCACCGCCAGCCGUCACCCCACCGAACCCGAGCAUGCUGGGAGAUGUAGUCCUUCCUUUGUUAACCCGGUUCUGUCAGGUUGCUAAUGCUUUCUCCAGUCCUCAAGUCUGGGAGCCCCUCCUCCCACAUGCAACCCCUGAGUGUGUCUGCUGAGGCUGCACUACCCACGCGUGUUCUCUCGGCAACCGCCAUUCUCGGUUUCUCACUGCUCCAACCAUUUUGCUUGCAGAUGGGCACAUGUCACUGUCCUCCAUUUCUCAGGGUGUCACCAGGCCUCCUAGAGCUUAAACUCCUAAACAUUAUUGGGCUCUGUGUUUUCUCUCCCUAGUCUGGUUUACUCCUGGCCUUCCUUUUAACGCUCUGCGGGAAGCACAGUUAACUGAUUCCACCUCUUGUGUCUGUACAUGGCCUCUGGCUCCAACUACUUCUCCAUGACCUUAGGAAGGCCUGUCCAUCUUCUGACCUCUCAGCCUACCUCCACUACUCUGAUCCAGUCUAUACUCCUAAAAACCAUGCUGACACACUUUUCUAGCUCACGUGGAGCCCUGGCACUAUUCUAGGCGCCGAACCCUUCUUAAGGAGACAACAGGCUGUAAUAGAAAUGACAGUUGCACCCUUGUGCCUUUGCCCAGAGAUCCUGUUACAGUCCUUCCUCUACUGCUCUGCCACUUGGGCAGCACAAGCAUUUCAUCAUCUGUGAAGCUGUGCUGGUUAAUUUUUGUCAACACAAUCUAGAGAUGUCUGGGAAAAGGAAAUCUCGACUGAGGAAUUGCCUGCAUCUGAUUGGUCUGUGGGGUAUAUUCUUGAUAGCUAAUUGAUGGAGGCGAGAGCCCAACCCACUGUGGGAGGUGAUCCCCUGGGCAGGUAGUAAUGGGUUGUAUAAGAAAGAUAGCAGAAUGCAAGUCUGGAAGCCAGCCAGUAAAUAAUGUCUCUCCAUGAUUGCUACUUCAAGCUCCUGCCUUGAGGUCCUGAUGCCGGAACCCUGCAGCGCAAAUAAACCCUCUCCUCCCCCAGUUACUCUUGGCGGGCAGUGUUUUAUUACAGCAACAGAGAAGCAAAUUAAAUCAGAAACUCUAGGGCUGGAGAGAUGGCUCAGUGGUUAAGAGCACUGACUGCUCUUCUGAAGGACCUGAGUUCCAUUCCCAGCAACCACAUGGUAGCUCACAACCAUCCGUAAUGAGAUCUGAUGCCCUCUUCUGGUGUGUCUGAAGACAGCUACAGUGUACUCAUAUAAGUAAAAGUAGAUAAAUUUUUAAAAAGAUUUAUUUAUUUAUUUUAUGUAUGUGAGUGCACUGUAGUUGUACAGAUGGUUGUGACCCUUCGUGUGGUUGUUGGGAGUUGAAUUUUUAGGACCGCUGCUUGCUCUGAUCAGCCUCGCUCCUCGCUCUGUCCCUGCUUGCUCCGGACCAAAGAUUUAUUUACUAUACUGUAUAAGUACACUGUAGCUGACUUCAGACAUGCCAGAAGAGGGCGUCAGAUCACAUUACAAUUGGUUGUGAGCCAUCAUGUGGUUUCUGGAAUUUGAACUCAGGACCUUCAAAAGAGCAGUCAGUGUUCUUACUAAGCCAUCUCACCAGCCCCUGGAUAAAUCUUUAAAAAACAAAACCAGAAGCUUUCUCUGACUGGGUGCUUC
This 2065-nucleotide long non-coding RNA is filed under the name Mus musculus (house mouse). Its description in RNAcentral is "RIKEN cDNA I920046F24 gene (I920046F24Rik)". Lineage: Eukaryota; Metazoa; Chordata; Mammalia; Rodentia; Muridae. The record is from RNAcentral.